Molecule: long non-coding RNA, 271 nt
Organism: Lethenteron reissneri (Far Eastern brook lamprey)
Lineage: Eukaryota; Metazoa; Chordata; Hyperoartia; Petromyzontiformes; Petromyzontidae
Source: RefSeq, a predicted model, not a curated record
GUGCUGAAUGUGUUGUGGUGAAUCCAGGUGAGGUUGUACAGGACCAUAAUUGAGGAUGUGAUUGAAAACUCCAUUGAGUUUUUUUUGGAAGAAGGAGUCGAAAAGACUGUCUUGAGAGAUCUAAAAAAGCUCUGGGAGCUUAAGCUCCUGCAGUCGAAUGCAGUUGGCAGCUUUCCCGUCGACAGUCAACUUCUCCUGCUCAAGGCUCACGUGCACUUCCUGCAGAUCCCCUGUUCAACAAACAUCGUGGCCCAGAAUGGCAGGAACUUCC